Molecule: transfer RNA, 80 nt
Filed under: Halalkalibacter krulwichiae
Lineage: Bacteria; Bacillati; Bacillota; Bacilli; Caryophanales; Bacillaceae
Description: Bacillus krulwichiae tRNA-Met
Rfam family: tRNA
About the family: Transfer RNA (tRNA) molecules are approximately 80 nucleotides in length. Their secondary structure includes four short double-helical elements and three loops (D, anti-codon, and T loops).
Source: RNAcentral
GACGCGGGGUGGAGCAGUCUGGUAGCUCGUCGGGCUCAUAACCCGAAGGUCGGUGGUUCAAAUCCGCCCCCGCAAUACCA